AUUCCCAAUUUACAGAUGAGAAAACUGAGAUUCAGAGAAGUUAAGGAAGUAGACCAAAAACAUCAUUGAAGCUGAGAGACCCAAGUCAAGGUAAAGAGAAGAAGGAACCUCUGUGAAUGAAGCCUAAAGAACCAAUAUGGCAGCUCAAUAUGCCACAAGCUACAGGGAAAGCCUUGAGGGGAGCUGUUGUCUCAGCAUCAUGGAACAGCAACAUGGAUGGAGCUGGAGGCCAUUAUUCUAAGA
Homo sapiens (human) is the source of this 243-nucleotide long non-coding RNA. RefSeq lists it as uncharacterized. The record is from RefSeq and is a predicted model, not a curated record. The transcript is spliced from 3 exons. NCBI's taxonomy places the organism in Eukaryota, Metazoa, Chordata, Mammalia, Primates, Hominidae.